CCGCCUCAAGAUGAGAUUUCCCAGUACGUAAGACCCCUGGAAGAACACCAGGUAGAUAGGCUCGGGGUGGAAGCGCGGCAACGUGUGGAGCUGACGAGUACUAAUCGGUCGAGGGCUUAUCCUAA
This 125-nucleotide ribosomal RNA is filed under the name Cohnella fermenti. Its description in RNAcentral is "Cohnella sp. CC-MHH1044 partial 23S ribosomal RNA". It matches the Rfam family "Bacterial large subunit ribosomal RNA", at positions 2794 to 2925 of the family's 2925-position model. Lineage: Bacteria; Bacillati; Bacillota; Bacilli; Caryophanales; Paenibacillaceae. The record is from RNAcentral.